RNAcentral lists this ribosomal RNA (253 nucleotides) under uncultured bacterium. Its description in RNAcentral is "partial 16S ribosomal RNA". It matches the Rfam family "Bacterial small subunit ribosomal RNA", at positions 524 to 776 of the family's 1533-position model. The record is from RNAcentral.
UACGGAGGGUGCAAGCGUUAAUCGGAAUUACCGGGCGUAAAGCGUGCGCAGGCGGUUUGUUAAGUCCGUUGUGAAAGCCCCGAGCUCAACUUGGGAAUUGCAGUGGAUACUGGCAGGCUGGAGUACGGUAGAGGAAGGUGGAAUUCCCGGUGUAGCAGUGAAAUGCGUAGAUAUCGGGAGGAACACCAGUGGCGAAGGCGGCCUUCUGGACCAGUACUGACGCUCAUGCACGAAAGCGUGGGGAGCAAACAGG